GGGGCAGUAGCUCAGCUGGGAGAGCACCACGUUCGCAACGUGGGGGUCAGCGGUUCGAUCCCGCUCUGCUCCA
This 73-nucleotide transfer RNA is filed under the name bacterium. RNAcentral's name for it is "tRNA-Ala". It matches the Rfam family "tRNA". From Rfam's summary of the family: Transfer RNA (tRNA) molecules are approximately 80 nucleotides in length. Their secondary structure includes four short double-helical elements and three loops (D, anti-codon, and T loops). The record is from RNAcentral.